UACGGAGGAUUCAAGCGUUAUCCGGAUUUAUUGGGUUUAAAGGGUGCGUAGGCGGUCGGAUAAGUUAGAGGUGAAAUCCCGAGGCUCAACUUCGGAAUUGCCUCUGAUACUGUUCGGCUAGAGAGUAGUUGCGGUAGGCGGAAUGUAUGGUGUAGCGGUGAAAUGCUUAGAGAUCAUACAGAACACCGAUUGCGAAGGCAGCUUACUAAGCCAUAACUGACACUGAAGCACGAAAGCGUGGGGAUCAAACAGG
Molecule: ribosomal RNA, 253 nt
Filed under: uncultured Rikenellaceae bacterium
Lineage: Bacteria; Pseudomonadati; Bacteroidota; Bacteroidia; Bacteroidales; Rikenellaceae
Description: partial 16S ribosomal RNA
Rfam family: Bacterial small subunit ribosomal RNA
Source: RNAcentral